GGACGAGUGGCGGACGGGUGAGUAAUGUCUGGGAAACUGCCUGAUGGAGGGGGAUAACUACUGGAAACGGUAGCUAAUACCGCAUAACGUCGCAAGACCAAAGAGGGGGACCUUCGGGCCUCUUGCCAUCAGAUGUGCCCAGAUGGGAUUAGCUAGUAGGUGGGGUAAUGGCUCACCUAGGCGACGAUCCCUAGCUGGUCUGAGAGGAUGACCAGCCACACUGGAACUGAGACACGGUCCAGACUCCUACGGGAGGCAGCAGUGGGGAAUAUUGCACAAUGGGCGCAAGCCUGAUGCAGCCAUGCCGCGUGUAUGAAGAAGGCCUUCGGGUUGUAAAGUACUUUCAGCGGGGAGGAAGGUGUUGUGGUUAAUAACCACAGCAAUUGACGUUACCCGCAGAAGAAGCACCGGCUAACUCCGUGCCAGCAGCCGCGGUAAUACGGAGGGUGCAAGCGUUAAUCGGAAUUACUGGGCGUAAAGCGCACGCAGGCGGUCUGUCAAGUCGGAUGUGAAAUCCCCGGGCUCAACCUGGGAACUGCAUUCGAAACUGGCAGGCUAGAGUCUUGUAGAGGGGGGUAGAAUUCCAGGUGUAGCGGUGAAAUGCGUAGAGAUCUGGAGGAAUACCGGUGGCGAACGCGGCCCCCUGGACAAAGACUGACGCUCACGUGCGAAAGCGUGGGGAGCAAACAGGAU
Molecule: ribosomal RNA, 693 nt
Filed under: uncultured bacterium
Lineage: Bacteria
Description: bacterial SSU rRNA
Rfam family: Bacterial small subunit ribosomal RNA
Source: RNAcentral